AACGAACGCUGGCGGCAUGCCUAACACAUGCAAGUCGAACGAGACCUUCGGGUCUAGUGGCGCACGGGUGCGUAACGCGUGGGAACCUGCCCUUAGGUUCGGAAUAACUCCCCGAAAGGGGUGCUAAUACCGGAUAAUGUCUUCGGACCAAAGAUUUAUCGCCUUUGGAUGGGCCCGCGUUGGAUUAGCUAGUUGGUAGGGUAAAAGCCUACCAAGGCGACGAUCCAUAGCUGGUCUGAGAGGAUGGUCAGCCACACUGGGACUGAGACACGGCCCAGACUCCUACGGGAGGCAGCAGUGGGGAAUAUUGGACAAUGGGCGAAAGCCUGAUCCAGCAAUGCCGCGUGAGUGAUGAAGGCCUUAGGGUUGUAAAGCUCUUUUACCCGGGAUGAUAAUGACAGUACCGGGAGAAUAAGCACCGGCUAACUCCGUG
Molecule: ribosomal RNA, 433 nt
Filed under: uncultured bacterium
Lineage: Bacteria
Description: partial 16S ribosomal RNA
Rfam family: Bacterial small subunit ribosomal RNA
Source: RNAcentral